UACGUAGGUGGCGAGCGUUGUCCGGAUUUACUGGGCGUAAAGGAUGCGUAGGCGGAUAUUUAAGUGAGAUGUGAAAUACCCGAGCUUAACUUGGGUGCUGCAUUUCAAACUGGAUAUCUAGAGUGUGGGAGAGGAGAUUGGAAUUCCUAGUGUAGCGGUGAAAUGCGUAGAGAUUAGGAAGAACACCAGUGGCGAAGGCGAUUCUCUGGACCAUAACUGACGCUGAGGCAUGAAAGCGUGGGUAGCAAACAGG
RNAcentral lists this ribosomal RNA (253 nucleotides) under uncultured bacterium. RNAcentral describes it as "partial 16S ribosomal RNA". It matches the Rfam family "Bacterial small subunit ribosomal RNA", at positions 524 to 776 of the family's 1533-position model. The record is from RNAcentral.